This 666-nucleotide long non-coding RNA is filed under the name Helianthus annuus (common sunflower). Lineage: Eukaryota; Viridiplantae; Streptophyta; Magnoliopsida; Asterales; Asteraceae. The record is from RNAcentral.
GUUUGUUAGAUAUCGCUUUCAUGGUGACGUCAGCUGAGAUGCCUCAGUGGUUUGGUUUGCCUAUAAAUGGAGCACAGUACCCUGUACUGUUACAUUUGAUUGACUGAGCGAGUUCUUCUCCUCAUGUCUAAUCCUUUCAUCUUGUGCAAUCAACCAUGGAGUAUCAGGCUGAGGGGGAGUUUAGUUUGUAAGCAUGCUUUGUAAUCUUUUGAUUUACUUUGUAAUCUUUUGACUGAUGCAAAUCAUGUGUUUUUGAAAUCUAUUUCUCUCGUUGAUCGUGUUUACAAAGUUUGUUGUUCAUUUCCGCUGCACUUAAACUCUGUUCAUUUCUAUUGAUUUGUUCAGAUUAUACAAACAAACACAAUCAUGACAGCCUUCGAUCCUAACAGCGGGGGUAAUUAAAUUAGUGUGUACCCGACGACCAGAAACUUCACGCAAUGUUUCUACCCAAUGUGACGUAGAGUCUGCCGUGUAGCCCAUGUCUUGGAAAUAUUAAGCUAUGGUAACUCCUGAAUGAAAAUAAAUAUGCAAUUACAUUACAACUUAGGUAAUUUGACUAACUAUUGAUAGAUGCAUUAAAACCAUAAGGUAUGGAACAAAAAGAUUGAAUAUAUGAAAACCCUAACAAACUUCACACUAGCAAUGUUUUCAAUGGCUAGGUUAUCG